UAGAUUUUUAGUGUAGUGGUAACACAACAGUCUCCAAAACUGUUAUCGUGGGUUCGAUUCCUGCAAAGUCUGU
RNAcentral lists this transfer RNA (73 nucleotides) under Streptococcus pneumoniae. RNAcentral's name for it is "tRNA-Trp(cca)". It matches the Rfam family "tRNA". Rfam says of the family: Transfer RNA (tRNA) molecules are approximately 80 nucleotides in length. Their secondary structure includes four short double-helical elements and three loops (D, anti-codon, and T loops). Lineage: Bacteria; Bacillati; Bacillota; Bacilli; Lactobacillales; Streptococcaceae. The record is from RNAcentral.